CCUACGGGGGGCUGCAGUGGGGAAUAUUGCACAAUGGGGGAAACCCUGAUGCAGCGACGCCGCGUGAGUGAAGAAGUAAUUCGUUAUGUAAAGCUCUAUCAACAGGGCAGAAAAUUACGGUACCUGAGUAAGAAGCCCCGGCGAACUACGUGCCAGCAGCCGCGGUAAUACGUAGGGUGCAAGCGUUAUCCGGAUUUACUGGGUGUAAAGGGAGCGUAGACGGCAUUGCAAGUCUGGCGUGAAAGGCGGGGGCUCAACCCCCGGACUGCUCUGGAAACUGGACGGCUGGAGUGCAGGAGAGGUAAGUGGAAUUCGUGGUGUAGCGGUGAAAUGCGUAGAUAUUAGGAGGAACACCAGUGGCGAAGGCGGCUUACUGGACUGUAACUGACGUUGAGGCUCGAAAGCGUGGGGAGCAAACAGGAUUAGAUACCCGGGUAGUC
Molecule: ribosomal RNA, 440 nt
Filed under: uncultured bacterium
Lineage: Bacteria
Description: partial 16S ribosomal RNA
Rfam family: Bacterial small subunit ribosomal RNA
Source: RNAcentral